This is a long non-coding RNA of Eriocheir sinensis (Chinese mitten crab), 2201 nucleotides long. RefSeq lists it as uncharacterized. The transcript has 3 exons. NCBI's taxonomy places the organism in Eukaryota, Metazoa, Arthropoda, Malacostraca, Decapoda, Varunidae. The record is from RefSeq and is a predicted model, not a curated record.
CAUUCCCUGUUGUCUUGCUGUCUAUUGGUAAGUUGUGUUCUAGUGCUCCUUGUGUUGAGUUUAAUGUGUUGCAACCCCUUCCCCUUUAACCAUGAAUGUGAGGUUGACAACACAUUCAACACAAGGAACACUAGGAACACAACACAUCAUUAGACAGAACACUACAUACACACAACACACAUUAUAUAGAACACAUUUAACCCUUCCCUUAGGCCAAGAAUGAGAGGUUGGCAACACAAACACAACACACAGAACACUAGAACACAACACAUCAUUAGACAGCAACGCAAUACUACACACACACAACACACUACAGAACACAUAACCCUUCCCUUAGGCCAAGAAUGAGAGGUUGGCAACACAAACACAACACACAGAACACUAGAACACAACACAUCAUUAGACAGCAACGCAAUACUACACACACACAACACACUAUAGAACACAUACCCCUUCCCCUUUAGCCAUGAAUGAGAGGUCGGCAACACAAACACAACACACAGAACACUAGAACACAACACAUCAUUAGACAGCAACGCAAUACUACACACACACAACACACUAUAGAACACAUACCCCUUCCUCUUUAGCCAUGAAUGAGAGGUUGGCAACACAUGCAACACAAGGAACACUAGAACACAACAUACCAUCAUUAGACAGCAAACCGGAACACCACAUACACAACACAAAACACAGAACACUACAACACUUCACAACACUAACACAUGUAAAACAACCAACACACACACACACACAACACUACAACACACCAGACAACACUAGAACACGGGGACACAUACCAUCACACUAACCAGCAACACUUAGACAUGCAACAGGACAAUCAAUUAUUUACGCAACACACGUCUUCCUUAUCAACACACCAUCAGAGAGACUAGACAAAGAGAGAAAGAAAGAAGGGAAGGACAGCAACACAACAGCCUCGAAAGCAACACAAAACACAUGUAACACAGCCAUUCACAACACACAGCAACACAUUAAACAAAGAAAGAGAGAUGGGUGGGAGAGUUAGAGAUUGUCAGUCAUGAAUUUCCAAGAACAGCAACAUAACAACCUCGAUAGCAACACAACCAUUCACACAACACACAGCAACACAAACAAAGGAAGGAUAGAUAGAUAGUCACAAAACUCUAAGGACAGCAACACAACAGCCUCCCUCUUCUGACAGCAACACAGCUUUAAUUAACAGACAGUAGCAACACUCGUAUAUACAACACAAAUACCCGUAGAAACAAACACUACAAGAAUGAAACGCGUAUAUUAUGAACCCACAAGGAAACUGGAACAUUUGACCCCCAAUUACGAUAGAUAGAUAGAUAUUAAGAAACACACACAGCAACACAUACACCACUCACAGCAACACAACACCAUAGACUUUAAUUAUAAGGAACUCAAUGAUAUGAAUGAAGAGAGUAACUUUGACCUCGUUAACAAAGCAAUAACAUGACAAGACCAGGGAUGCUAUGCUCAAUCUACCCUCUCACACUAUCAAUUAACUCCAGUCCACGAUAAUUAGAGGUAUAUUAAGACCCAGGAAUGUCAGAAGAUGUAUUUAGCGAUGGAAUAGAAGCAUGUUGGUCGUUAUUUCUCGUUAAACUCGUUAUGCAGUCUCACGGAUACCACAAACCGCUCAAGAAAUUCCUUUAUAUUAACUAUUUUUACGAUGUUACAAGUGAUUAGGAUAGACAAUUUAUGAUAGAGGAGGUUGAUGAGUGUAUUUUCAGCUGAUCUUCAAUUGUUAGAGUCUGGGAAUGCUUAAAUUAAUUCGUUAUUGCACAAGGAAACCACAAACCGCUCAAGAAAUUCCUUUAUAUUAACUAUUUUUACGAUGUUACAAGUGAUUAGGAUAGACGAUUUAUGAUAGAGGAGGUUGAUAAGUGUAUUUUCAGCUGAUCUUCAAUUGUUAGAGUCUGGGAAUGCUUAAAUUAAAUCGUUAUUGCACAAGGAAACCACAAAACGCCCAAGAAAUUCCUUUACAUUAACUCAUUUCACGAUGUUACAAGUGAUUAGCUUAGACAAUUAGUUACAGAGGAGGUUGAUGAGUGUAUUUUCAGCUUAUCUUCAAUUGUUAGAGUCUGGGAAUGCUUAAAUUAAUUCGUUAUUGCACAAGGAAACCGUUACUGUCCGUUCCCAGCCCAACCUUCCCUCCCAAGCACUUCAAACAUGGACCCAAUUUAUGAGCU